AUGCUCUGGGCUCCCCUCAUUGUCCUACUGGGGACGUGGUGCACAGGUUCCAGCUCAAAGCCUGUGCUGAAUCAGCCGCCCUCAGUGUCAGUGUCGCCAGGAAACACCGUGAAACUCUCCUGCACCAUGAGCAGUGGGACCAGCAUCAGUGGCUACCAUGUGUCCUGGUACCAGCAGAAACCUGGGAAUUCUCCACAAUACCUGCUGAGAUACAAGUCAGAUUCCGACAAGCACCAGGGCUCUGGGGUCCCUGCUUGUUUCUCUGGCUCCAAAGACACGUCCAGUAACGCCGGCUAUCUGACCAUCACUGGGGCCCUGGCAGAGGAUGAAGCUGAUCAUUAUUGUUCUCACCACAAGAGCGUUUUUGGGGCCCUGGCUGAUGCCAUCUCAGCUUAG
Non-coding RNA from Malaclemys terrapin pileata, 396 nucleotides. The record is from the annotation of a RefSeq genome assembly. Lineage: Eukaryota; Metazoa; Chordata; Testudines; Emydidae.